This 628-nucleotide ribosomal RNA is filed under the name uncultured Porphyromonadaceae bacterium. Its description in RNAcentral is "bacterial SSU rRNA". It matches the Rfam family "Bacterial small subunit ribosomal RNA", at positions 89 to 715 of the family's 1533-position model. Lineage: Bacteria; Pseudomonadati; Bacteroidota; Bacteroidia; Bacteroidales; Porphyromonadaceae. The record is from RNAcentral.
UGGCGACCGGCGCACGGGUGAGUAACGCGUAUGCAACCCAUUUAUCAGAGGGGAAUAACCCGGCGAAAGUCGGACUAAUCCCGCAUAAAACAGGGACACCGCAUGGUGAUAUUUGUUAAAGAAAUUCGCUGAUAGAUGGGCAUGCGUUCCAUUACGUAGUUGGUGAGGUAACGGCUCACCAAGCCGACGAUGGAUAGGGGAACUGAGAGGUUGGUCCCCCACACUGGUACUGAGACACGGACCAGACUCCUACGGGAGGCAGCAGUGAGGAAUAUUGGUCAAUGGGCGGGAGCCUGAACCAGCCAAGUCGCGUGAAGGAAGAAGGAUCUAUGGUUCGUAAACUUCUUUUGCAGGGGAAUAAAGUGCAGGACGUGUCCUGUUUUGUAUGUACCCUGAGAAUAAGGAUCGGCUAACUCCGUGCCAGCAGCCGCGGUAAUACGGAGGAUCCGAGCGUUAUCCGGAUUUAUUGGGUUUAAAGGGUGCGUAGGUGGUUUGAUAAGUCAGCGGUGAAAGUUUGCAGCUUAACUGUAAAAAUGCCGUUGAAACUGUCGGACUUGAGUGUAAAUGAGGUAGGCGGAAUGCGUGGUGUAGCGGUGAAAUGCUUAGAUAUCACGAAGAACUCCGAUUG